AGCGAACGCUGGCGGCAGGCUUAACACAUGCAAGUCGAACGGGCAUAGCAAUAUGUCAGUGGCAGACGGGUGAGUAACGCGUGGGAACAUACCUCUUGGUUCGGAACAACACAGGGAAACUUGUGCCAAUACCGGAUAAGCCCUUACGGGAAGAAUUAUUGCCGAGAGAUUGGCCCGCGUCUGAUUAGCUAGUUGGUGAGGUAAGAGCUCACCAAGGCGACGAUCAGUAGCUGGUC
Molecule: ribosomal RNA, 236 nt
Filed under: uncultured bacterium
Lineage: Bacteria
Description: partial 16S ribosomal RNA
Rfam family: Bacterial small subunit ribosomal RNA
Source: RNAcentral